UAGGUUUUUGUCUGAAUCAGAUACUAUUCCUGAGGGGUUGUUAGAUCCUGUUUGGUGUAGGAAUAGAAGGUGGACUGCUGCUAGGGCUGAAAUAAUGAAUGGGAGAAUAAAGCGAAAGGCAAAGAAUCGUGUCAGGGUGGCUUUGUCUACUGAGAAUCCUCCUCAUAUUUAUUCUACUAAAUUAGUUCCGAUGUAGGGGAUUUCUGAUAGGAGGUUGGUGAUGACAGUAGCUCCUCAGAAGGAUAUUUGGCCUCAUGGUAGAACCUAACC
Molecule: long non-coding RNA, 270 nt
Organism: Herpailurus yagouaroundi (jaguarundi)
Lineage: Eukaryota; Metazoa; Chordata; Mammalia; Carnivora; Felidae
Exons: 3
Source: RefSeq, a predicted model, not a curated record